GACGAACGCUGGCGGCGUGCCUAAUACAUGCAAGUAGAACGCACAGUUUAUACCGUAGCUUGCUACACCAUAAACUGUGAGUUGCGAACGGGUGAGUAACGCGUAGGUAACCUGCCUGGUAGCGGGGGAUAACUAUUGGAAACGAUAGCUAAUACCGCAUAAUAUUAAUUAUUGCAUGAUAAUUGAUUGAAAGAUGCAAUUGCAUCACUACCAGAUGGACCUGCGUUGUAUUAGCUAGUAGGUGAGGUAACGGCUCACCUAGGCGACGAUACAUAGCCGACCUGAGAGGGUGAUCGGCCACACUGGGACUGAGACACGGCCCAGACUCCUACGGGAGGCAGCAGUAGGGAAUCUUCGGCAAUGGACGAAAGUCUGACCGAGCAACGCCGCGUGAGUGAAGAAGGUUUUCGGAUCGUAAAGCUCUGUUGUAAGAGAAGAACGGGUGUGAGAGUGGAAAGUUCACACUGUGACGGUAUCUUACCAGAAAGGGACGGCUACUACGUG
RNAcentral lists this ribosomal RNA (504 nucleotides) under uncultured bacterium. RNAcentral's name for it is "partial 16S ribosomal RNA". It matches the Rfam family "Bacterial small subunit ribosomal RNA", at positions 28 to 507 of the family's 1533-position model. The record is from RNAcentral.